AACGCGAAGAACCUUACCCACCUUUGACAUGUACGGAAUCCUUUAGAGAUAGAGGAGUGCUCGAAAGAGAGCCGUAACACAGGUGCUGCAUGGCUGUCGUCAGCUCGUGUCGUGAGAUGUUGGGUUAAGUCCCGCAACGAGCGCAACCCUUGCCAUUAGUUGCUACGAAAGGGCACUCUAAUGGGACUGCCGGUGACAAACCGGAGGAAGGUGGGGAUGACGUCAAGUCCUCAUGGCCCUUAUAGGUGGGGCUACACACGUCAUACAAUGGCUGGUACAGAGGGUUGCCAACCCGCGAGGGGGAGCCAAUCCCACAAAGCCAGUCGUAGUCCGGAUCGCAGUCUGCAACUCGACUGCGUGAAGUCGGAAUCGCUAGUAAUCGCGGAUCAGAAUGUCGCGGUGAAUACGUUCCCGGGUCUUGUACACACCG
This 430-nucleotide ribosomal RNA is filed under the name uncultured Acidovorax sp. RNAcentral's name for it is "bacterial SSU rRNA". It matches the Rfam family "Bacterial small subunit ribosomal RNA", at positions 958 to 1392 of the family's 1533-position model. The record is from RNAcentral. Lineage: Bacteria; Pseudomonadati; Pseudomonadota; Betaproteobacteria; Burkholderiales; Comamonadaceae.